Molecule: non-coding RNA, 3548 nt
Organism: Marmota monax (woodchuck)
Lineage: Eukaryota; Metazoa; Chordata; Mammalia; Rodentia; Sciuridae
Source: the annotation of a RefSeq genome assembly
UUCUUGGGGCCUUGGUAAGUUGCUAAGGCUGGCUUUGAAAAUGCAAUCUAGCAACACACACUUGCCUCAACUUCCAAAGCCACUGAGAUUACAGAAAGGUGGUUUCUUGACCUGUAGGGGGCCAGCUUUCUUCUUUUCCUUCUCCAACAUUUUCCAUUUUCCUUUGUCACUUUCUAGCAAUUUUACCUGAAUGGAAAAGUGUUUAUAAGAUCAAGUUAUGAGAAGACAUACAAAAUAAUCAUGUGACACACACAAAAAAAAUCUAUAUUCAAGGAGUUCCAAAGGAAGACAGAAGAUCAACAUGCCAAGGCAAGGUUGCUAAACUGGUGGUUGGGCCACGAAGCUUGGGAAGAAGCUGAGAUUUUUUGAAGACAAAUUGGCCAAUGUUGUAGUGGAACCUGUAUCAGGAUAUAUGCAGGAGGGAAUAAAUUCAUAGCAACACCUCUUGAUAAAAGGUUUGAUGCAGACACUUCCCCGAAGCCCACGAUUUUUCUUCCUUCAGUUACUGAAAUAAAACUUCAUAAGGCUGGGACACAUCUUUGUCUUAUCGAGAACUUUUUCCCUGAUGUUAUUACGGUAUUUUGGAAAGAGAAGUAUGGUGAUAGGAUUCUGGAAUCCCAGCAGGGAGAUACCAUGAAGACUAAAGACACUUACAUGAAGAUGAGCUGGAUAACUGUGACUGAAGAAUCAAUGGAUAAAGAGCGCAAGUGUGUUGUCAAACAUGAGAAAAAUAGAGGGGGAGGUGAUCAAGAGAUUCUGUUUCCUGCAAUAAAGAAAGUUGUGCCCACAAUGAAACCCACAGAAGCCAACUUGAGAAAUGAAAAUGCUGUCACCACUAUUAAUCCCAGAGAAGCUGAUCUGGAAGUUGAAAAUGAUGCUCUGAGGUUGCAGUUCACAUACACCUCUGCCUACUGGACCUACCUCCUCCUGCUGCUCAAGAGUGUGGUCUACUUGGCCAUCGUCACCUUCUGUCUGCUUAGAAGUACAGCUGCUGGUGGCAAUGGGAAGAGCUCCUAACAGAUGAUGGCACAACACAGUCAUCUUAUCUUCAUAGCUUAUUGUCCUGAAAAGUGUUUGCUUAGGACCUGGUUGGACUUGUCACUGGGUUCAGGCUUCUUCAAUUUUCACAAGUAUUAUUCUGUCAUUGUUGCAUAAAGGUUUUUCAAACCAGUGAGCAAAUCAGUGAGCAAAUUUCACAUUCUAAUAAGAAGCCCAUGGUGGCCUGUAACCUCAGUGUACCCAAAGUCUCCAUUAGGCAUUCCAGCCAGCCCAAAUCAUCAAAGCUUUGGUGGGGACAGCAUGCAGUUUCUAGUCACAGUGUUUAGGUGUGUACAGUGAUGACAGAGAAUGGAAGAGCAGUGACUGAGAUUGGGGGUCUCUGAUGAUUUCCUUGUUGUGCCAUGCUACUGCCUGAGAAUGUUUCUUUGCAAGAGCACAGGAUGUCUAGCUACCAUGGUAAUGCCCCUCCCAAAGAGACUCUGUGUAAUAGUCUUAUCAGAUUUGACCUUGAUCUCAGGCAUAGAGGAUCCCAGGGAUAGAGGAAUUCUCAUGGAAGACAACCACGAUGUUUCACUAUCUCUGCUACACCUAAGCCUUCCCCCUUAACAGCAACUUUAAACCAUGGCCCUACUUGAGUGCUACACAAAGCUCCUAACAUUUCACAUUGCAACUUUUGAAAAGCUACAUAGAUGUUUGUAAUCCUGUAACUUUCUUGAGCAUAAAAAAUAAUGCUUGCAUAGUCUUUAACUGGAUAAUGUGACAUAUAUAAUUAAAGAUUGCUGGCAUAACUCUUCAGACACUGCUUCUUCAUCAGAGAGCAGCUCUCCAUCUAAACCCAUUUAUCUUCAUAUCUGUGUGUGUUUCAUUUUUCUAAUCACCCAUUGCCCCAGGCCAGUAUCACAAAUUUGGUUGUGCUUGUCACAGCACUUAGGGUUUUGUAUCCUGAAACUACUAAAAGCCUUCCAUUUUAUACACUCAAAAGCAGCCUUUUUUGCAACUUGGCUUCUUUGCUUCUUUUUCAUAAUAGAUACAAUGAAUAUCAGCGAUUUAUUUGGAAUCAUGUGUACUUUAAAUUAAUGAAACUGAAUUGAAUGUCCAAAGUGAGAAGCAGCAUGACAGCACAACUCUACUUUAGAAAUAGUGGGGACCACACUCACAUACAGAUCACUGUUCUUACUUAUCUACAGAGAAGAUGAGUGAAAUGAAGCAGGGACAUAGCUUUUACCAGGAACCAGGCAUUCCAUGAACCUUCUAUGAGCCCUUUAAGGUAGGAACAAUUAUGGUGUAUAGUUUAUAGAUUGGAAAAUAUAAAUUUUCCCUUAUGAUCACUAUUUUUGAGGUGAUGCUCAUAAUUUAAAGCCAGAGAGACCCAGAGUCUGUGUAUGUACACAUAUGUAAUUGACACAAUAUCAUAUAUUUCUCUCUCCCAUUUUUUUGUCACCCAUUUUUAAUAUAACAAAACAAUACAAUACCAAAUGCAUGCAUCCCUUCUUUGGAGGAUCUCACUCAUUGGAGGAUCCCUUACUAAAGGCAUCCUCCAAUAAGUGAGAGGACUUCCUUAAGGGUUUGAGUAUAUUUGUGUUUUCUCUUCUUAUGUAUAUCAUGCAACUGUUUUGUCACUAAUUUCUAAAUUGUCUUCUUAUUUGAAUAAAACUGUGACCUACUCUGAAAUUAACAUAAUUUCUCCCUUUGUUAUAGAUGGAAUAGAAUUUCUGCUUCCCUUUUAAGUGUACAUUUGCAACUGCUUCUUUUGGGAAGUGGGCUUUGAGCCUUAGAUGCUCUCUCUGCAUAUAGAUAAUGUUUUGACUUCCCAGGUCCUUUCAUAUAUAUAUAUAUACAUGUAUGUAUGUGAAUGCAUAUAUAUUCGUGUUUCACCUUCUUACAUAAAGUUAGUAUACAACGUACAUUAUUCUGUACUCCUUUUUAUUUAUAAAUCUGAAAUCUCUUUUGAGAUCAGUGCAUAGGGAUGUUUAGAGAGCCACAGGUAUUUGCCUUAAAAUAUUAAAUCUCAUCUGUUCCCUCUGAUAGUCUCUUGGUUGUUUCACUAUAUUCUCAUAGUAAAUAAACAUUUAUGUCCAUCUGCACAUAUGUACACUGGUAAUUUUGAUAGGAAAUGCCAACCUGCCCUCCAUGGAGAGCCCCACAUGGCUCUCCUAUCCCCAUCCAUAUGAAUUUAUGAGUGUGCUGCAAAACAUCAGGAUUUUGCUAAUCUGACAGGUGAAAACUAGGAUCUUGUAGUUUUAAUUGCUUUUCUCGUUCUUGUUAUGAGUGAAGAUUAACAUCUUUUUUAUAUGUUUAAGAUCUAUUUAUAUCUCUUUGCAACAUUUGCUCUGGUCCUUUGACAAUUGUUUGCUGUUAAUAAUAAUAGUAAGACUUAUGACUCUAGUUUGCUGAGUCUCUCUGCGUUUCUAUAAGACAUGAUACAAAAUGUAGUAUUUAAUGUAUGGAAGUUGGGUGAAAAAUUAAUGCAUAUUUUUCUAUUUUCUUUGAUGAAUCGUUUGAAAGUCAGAAACUUCUAUAAAUUUGAAUUAAAACAACUUUAUAUUUAA